UCAGGUAGUUGGCGGGGUAAAGGCCCACCAAGCCGAAGACGGGUAGCUGGUUUGAGAGAACGACCAGUCACAAGGGAACUGAGACACGGUCCCUACUCCUACGGGAGGCAGCAGCCAAGAAUAUUCCGCAAUGGACGAAAGUCUGACGGAGCGACGCCGCGUGAGGGAAGAAGGCCUUCGGGUUGUAAACCUCUUUUGUUAGGGAAGAAUAAGCGCGUAGGAAAUGACGCGUGAUGACGGUACCUGACGAAUAAGCCCCGGCUAAUUACGUGCCAGCAGCCGCGGUAAUACGUAAGGGGCAAGCGUUGCUCGGAAUUACUGGGCGUAAAGGGCGUGUAGGCGGCCCACCAAGUCGAAUGUAAAAAAUCACUGCUCAACAGUGGAGCUGCGUUCGAAACUGGCGGGCUUGGAUCUGGUGGAGGGUAAUGGAACUCCCGGUGUAGCGGUGAAAUGCGUAGAUAUCGGGAAGAACACCGAAGGCGAAGGCAAUUAUCCAUGCCGAGAUUGACGCUGAGGCGCGAAAGCGUGGGGAGCAAACAGGAUUAGAUACCCUGGUAGUCCACGCCGUAAACGAUGCAUACUAGGAGUUGGCGGGGUGCCGUUAGCUCCGCAGCAAACGCGUUAAGUAUGCCGC
This 634-nucleotide ribosomal RNA is filed under the name uncultured bacterium. RNAcentral describes it as "bacterial SSU rRNA". It matches the Rfam family "Bacterial small subunit ribosomal RNA", at positions 241 to 872 of the family's 1533-position model. The record is from RNAcentral.